CCCACGGGUGGCUGCAGUGGGGAAUAUUGGACAAUGGGCGAAAGCCUGAUCCAGCCAUGCCGCGUGUGUGAAGAAGGCCUUCGGGUUGUAAAGCACUUUCAGUGGGGAAGAAAGCCUUGGGGCUAAUACCCUCGAGGAAGGACAUCACCCACAGAAGAAGCACCGGCUAACUCCGUGCCAGCAGCCGCGGUAAUACGGAGGGUGCGAGCGUUAAUCGGAAUUACUGGGCGUAAAGCGCGCGUAGGCGGUCUGAUAAGCCGGUUGUGAAAGCCCCGGGCUCAACCUGGGAACGGCAUCCGGAACUGUCAGGCUAGAGUGCAGGAGAGGAAGGUAGAAUUCCCGGUGUAGCGGUGAAAUGCGUAGAGAUCGGGAGGAAUACCAGUGGCGAAGGCGGCCUUCUGGACUGACACUGACGCUGAGGUGCGAAAGCGUGGGUAGCAAACAGGAUUAGAUACCCUAGUAGUC
RNAcentral lists this ribosomal RNA (465 nucleotides) under Vreelandella stevensii. RNAcentral describes it as "partial 16S ribosomal RNA". It matches the Rfam family "Bacterial small subunit ribosomal RNA", at positions 338 to 795 of the family's 1533-position model. Lineage: Bacteria; Pseudomonadati; Pseudomonadota; Gammaproteobacteria; Oceanospirillales; Halomonadaceae. The record is from RNAcentral.